This 292-nucleotide ribosomal RNA is filed under the name uncultured eukaryote. RNAcentral describes it as "partial 18S ribosomal RNA". It matches the Rfam family "Eukaryotic small subunit ribosomal RNA", at positions 6 to 287 of the family's 1831-position model. The record is from RNAcentral.
GGUUGAUCCUGCCAGUAGUCAUAUGCUUGUUUCAAAGAUUAAGCCAUGCAUGUGUAAGUAUAGAGCAUUUCUAGCUUGAAACUGCGAACGGCUCAUUAAAUCAGUUAUAAUCUACUUGAUUGUAUAAAGUUACUAGGAUAACCGUAGUAAUUCUAUGGCUAAUACUUGCAAAAGAUUCUGACUCGAGAGGGAAGGAAUGCGGAUAUUAGUUACAAAACCAGGUCGUAGGUAAAACUGCGAAAAAUACUGAUGAUUUAUAAUAUCUAGGCGAAGCGCAAUUCUUUAUAGAUGG